UCAAAUAGCCAGGGGUGCCGUGCUUAUUUUUCGAACGGCUGAGAUGAUACCCUCUGACCUGAUCCGGAUAAUGCCGGCGUAGGAAGGAUAAUAGACAGCCUC
Molecule: regulatory RNA element, 102 nt
Organism: Ruminococcus sp. CAG:177
Lineage: Bacteria; Bacillati; Bacillota; Clostridia; Eubacteriales; Oscillospiraceae
Rfam family: TPP riboswitch aptamer (THI element)
About the family: Vitamin B(1) in its active form thiamin pyrophosphate (TPP) is an essential coenzyme that is synthesised by coupling of pyrimidine and thiazole moieties in bacteria.
Source: Rfam